RNAcentral lists this ribosomal RNA (466 nucleotides) under uncultured bacterium. RNAcentral's name for it is "partial 16S ribosomal RNA". It matches the Rfam family "Bacterial small subunit ribosomal RNA", at positions 355 to 813 of the family's 1533-position model. The record is from RNAcentral.
UAGGGAAUCUUCGGCAAUGGGGGCAACCCUGACCGAGCAACGCCGCGUGAGUGAAGAAGGUUUUCGGAUCGUAAAGCUCUGUUGUAAGUCAAGAACGGGUGUGAGAGUGGAAAGUUCACACUGUGACGGUAGCUUACCAGAAAGGGACGGCUAACUACGUGCCAGCAGCCGCGGUAAUACGUAGGUCCCGAGCGUUGUCCGGAUUUAUUGGGCGUAAAGCGAGCGCAGGCGGUUUGAUAAGUCUGAAGUUAAAGGCUGUGGCUCAACCAUAGUUCGCUUUGGAAACUGUCAAACUUGAGUGCAGAAGGGGAGAGUGGAAUUCCAUGUGUAGCGGUGAAAUGCGUAGAUAUAUGGAGGAACACCGGUGGCGAAAGCGGCUCUCUGGUCUGUAACUGACGCUGAGGCUCGAAAGCGUGGGGAGCGAACAGGAUUAGAUACCCUGGUAGUCCACGCCGUAAACGAUGAG